AUGUGCUUAAAAUAAUAAGCUUACCCUUUGGUAUCCUAAUGUUUCUCUUCCUGUGAAAACAUUUUCCAAAAUGUUGACACUAUUAUUAUUUCCCCCAGGUAGAUAUAGAAAUAAUAAAAUAUGUAAACACAAAAUAUAGCAUAAUUUUUACUAAGAUGAGGCUUCAGUGAUUUACUAUCAACUGAAAUGGAGAACAAGCUUUUCUCAUUUAUUCAGCUGUUGGCACUUUCUUCUCUUUUUAACAUUUUUUGCCUCAAACUUCUUUUCCUUUUAUCUUCUGUGUUGAAUUUUUCUUGUAUUUUUUUCUAGUGUCUUCUCUUGCACAGUGCAGUUUCUCAGCUGCUAAUUCUCUUGCUAUUCCUACAACAUCUUUUUUUAAUUUUACUUGUUCUUCAUUAUACAGAGAAAUCAGGAAACAUCAGAUCAAGAUACCUGGGACAAAUUAAAUUUAUCCUCCCUUCUUCAUCUAUGAAUAUGUAUUAGGUGAUGUAGUCUUUAAUUAGGUGCUUAAAUAGCUUGUUUUUCCAUAUUUUCCAUCUUCCUUUAGUGUGUAGGAUGGCUGAUAUCUUUAAAAGUGGCCAGCCAGUAUUUUACUUCAUUACAGUAAAUGGGAUUACAUCAAGGCUUAUUUCUAGAAGAGCACUCAAGCUUCCAGAACUUGAUUUAUGUAUGUGCCUAAGCCUGACAUUCUAGAAAUCUCCCUCAGGUGCUAAAAAAAUUCAGGAGCACCAGAAAGCACCUCAGGCAAUCCUCUGCAGAGAACUGUGGUUUUCAAGGCUCCUAAGAAACUAAUGCUUUGCUUUUAUUCUGUAGGGCAUGUUACCUACAGCCACUUCAACAGACACAAGCUGACCCUGCUUCUGUUCCAAAGGAAGCAAUGCCAGGAGGCUGCACAAGAAACUGUGCCACCAAGCCUGAUCAGCCCUGCUGCAAGGCAGAGAACAUCACUUUUGAGGAAAGACUGAAGAUUUUCUCUGAAACCUUGACUGAAGCUGUCAAGAUGACAUGUUCUCAUUCAGGAAGUCUGACGCUAAUUACUUUGAAUCAAAGAGCCGGAUGAGCAUAUCCUUCCAGUUUGGAAGAUAUGCAUCUGGUGGUAAGAAGGGAUUCUGCUAAUGCUCAGGUAGCUGCUACAUGGGAAAAUAUUACCACUUAUUCCUCUGUUUAGCAAAAGUUAUUACUCUUGUGUGAGUCACAAAUAAAUGGAGAAUAAAUGGAAGAGACA
RNAcentral lists this long non-coding RNA (1225 nucleotides) under Cyanistes caeruleus (blue tit). Its description in RNAcentral is "lncRNA (ENSCCEG00000010817.1)". The record is from RNAcentral. Lineage: Eukaryota; Metazoa; Chordata; Aves; Passeriformes; Paridae.